GAGAUAAGACUGAUGGGCUGCAAAGAAGGACGUCCUUACCCAGGUCGACAAGCGCUCACUUCAUAUGAUAAAGAAGAUCUUCGGCUGCGAGGUCACACAUGAAGGUCGACGAUUCCUCGUCGUGGAUGGUGGAGAAGAAAGAUCUUGCUCGCUGGAGGAGCCUAUAUUCCAAGGGAAACAGCUAGAGAGCUGAGCUAAUGGCUAUAAAAUUAUAGCUGGGACUGGAGUGUGCUAUUAGCCUGGAUAUCUCAAGAUUGGUAGUGGAAUCUAAUGCUAAGAAGCAGAUAAAUUUUGAACAGAUCCCCUGGGGUCCUUUUAAACUGUUUUAUGUAUAAUUUAAGUCUAUCUGAUAAAUUUCCUGAAUACAAAUUCAUUCAUGUAUUUUGUGAGGCUAAUUGUAGUGCUCACUGAUUAGCAAAUUUUACUACAACUACUAAAACUUCAAUGAUAUGGGGGCAAGAUUGGGCCCCCAGGUCUUGGUGUAUUUUGUGCUCCAAGGGGCAUGGUUUAUCAUAAGAGGUUGUUAAAAGUAAAAUGAUUUUAUCCUUUUGAAAAAAAAUGAAAUAGGAGAUCUUGGAAUAAAGAAGCUGGGUGUAGCCAAUUACCCAUAUAACUGACUUUUUUUCUCUAUAUGUGUCUCAUUUUAUUCUCUUGUUUAUCCAAAGGUAUUCGCUAAUGCUUAAUUUCUUGUCAUCCUAUUUGUUGUGACCAAAAUCAGUGUUAACUUCUACUUUCUAAUUGAAAAAUCUGAUUCAUCUCCCUGUUAGGUUGCCCUCAAUCUACAAAAUUAGUUGCAUAGUCAAAACAACCUUCUUUCACUAGCAAAAAACAUAAAUAAUAGCAUUUUGUUAUCAUCUGAAGGUGAAAGUCUAAAUUAUCCAACAAGCAACUACAUGAAGAUAUGUCAACUUCUCACAUUUGAGUAAAUAAGUAUCCAAAACCAAAGGAGGAUCAUUUCCCUGCAGCUAGACCUUGAAACUUAUGAUUUUACAAUAAUUAUUCAUCUUCAGUGUGUGUGAAUUAGAUAACCUAUUAGGACAAACAAACGAGAGACACUAUUAAAUCAGCCAAUAAUUAUGACAGUGACAUAACAAGAGCAGGGUAUAUGUACUAAAGGCUUGGGUCAAUAUUCACCCACCAGGCAAUUAACCAACUUGCACUAAUAUCUGCACUAAAAACGCACCCUCAUAAACAAAUAGUCAUGAUAUGGUAAAAUUUGCCAACACCACCAAUGCCCAAUAAACAUCACCUAGAGUAUAUACGCAUUUUCCAAAUCAUAAGAGCAUGCAGAAUAUGUUCUGAAAUGUAUUAACAAUAAAACAUGAUAAUAUCAGAAACUCAAAGGUCUAAUCUAGCAUUAGAAAAUAGAAACCCUAUGUAUUAAACAGCUUCAAUGUUUCUUUGUAUCAUUUUAAAGAAAGCUUUUAACAUUUUUUACUAGUAAAUGUACUGUAUGCAGAGGAUAUUGCAUCAGGUACCUCAUCCUUGCCCAUGCAUGGAACACUAGUGAUAACAUCACCAGUAGCAGGAUUUUGUACCUGAAGGGUCAUGCCGUCGUAGGCAUCGAUCCACUUGCCGCCGACAAACCCCUGGGACCUCAACAGUCCCGAUUUCCUCAAUCGAUC
Long non-coding RNA from Musa acuminata subsp. malaccensis (wild Malaysian banana), 1625 nucleotides. RefSeq lists it as uncharacterized. The record is from RefSeq and is a predicted model, not a curated record. NCBI's taxonomy places the organism in Eukaryota, Viridiplantae, Streptophyta, Magnoliopsida, Zingiberales, Musaceae.